Molecule: ribosomal RNA, 549 nt
Filed under: Mitra sp. BOLD:AAO6453
Lineage: Eukaryota; Metazoa; Mollusca; Gastropoda; Neogastropoda; Mitridae
Description: partial 16S ribosomal RNA
Rfam family: Bacterial large subunit ribosomal RNA
Source: RNAcentral
GCCUGUUUAUCAAAAACAUCGCUCCCUGUAUAAAAUAAAUAGGGAGUCGGACCUGCCCAGUGAAUUUUUAACGGCCGCGGUACUCUGACCGUGCAAAGGUAGCAUAAUAAUUUGCCUUAUAAUUGAAGGCUGGUAUGAAUGGUUUGACGAGAAUAAAGCUGUCUCUUUGCAAUUUACUAGAAAUUUAUUUACGAAUGAAAAAGUUCGUAUGUUAUUAAAAGACAAGAAGACCCUAUCGAGCUUUAAAGAAUUUAGUAGACUGAAUAACUUAAUUAAAUCUAAAAAGUCAUCUAUUGAGAAUUUUAGUUGGGGCGACCGAGGAACAAAUAAAGCUUCCUUAAAAUAGAGUUCUUUGCCUAUUAGCUUUGAUCCAGAAUAUUUCUGAUUAAUAAAAUUAGUUACCGUAGGGAUAACAGCAUUAUCUUUUUUGAGAGCUCUUAUCGAAAAAAAGGUUUGUGACCUCGAUGUUGGACCAGAAUGUCCUAAAGAUGCAGCAGUCUUUAAGGGUUGGUCUGUUCGACCAUUAAUAUUCUACGUGAUCUGAGUUCA